CCUACGGGAGGCAGCAGUGAGGAAUAUUGGUCAAUGGGCGUAAGCCUGAACCAGCCAAGUCGCGUGAGGGAUGAAGGUUCUAUGGAUCGUAAACCUCUUUUAUAAGGGAAUAAAGUGUGGAACGUGUCCUGUUUUGUAUGUACCUUAUGAAUAAGGAUCGGCUAACUCCGUGCCAGCAGCCGCGGUAAUACGGAGGAUCCGAGCGUUAUCCGGAUUUAUUGGGUUUAAAGGGUGCGUAGGCGGCUUUUUAAGUCAGCGGUGAAAGUCUGUGGCUCAACCAUAGAAUUGCCGUUGAAACUGGGAGGCUUGAGUAUGUUUGAGGCAGGCGGAAUGCGUGGUGUAGCGGUGAAAUGCUUAGAUAUCACGCAGAACCCCGAUUGCGAAGGCAGCCUGCCAAGCCAUGACUGACGCUGAUGCACGAAAGCGUGGGGAUCAAACAGGAUUAGAUACCCCGGUAGUC
RNAcentral lists this ribosomal RNA (460 nucleotides) under uncultured bacterium. RNAcentral describes it as "partial 16S ribosomal RNA". It matches the Rfam family "Bacterial small subunit ribosomal RNA", at positions 338 to 795 of the family's 1533-position model. The record is from RNAcentral.